RNAcentral lists this ribosomal RNA (253 nucleotides) under uncultured bacterium. RNAcentral's name for it is "partial 16S ribosomal RNA". It matches the Rfam family "Bacterial small subunit ribosomal RNA", at positions 524 to 776 of the family's 1533-position model. The record is from RNAcentral.
UACGGAGGAUGCAAGCGUUAUCCGGAAUGAUUGGGCGUAAAGCGUCCGCAGGUGGCUGUGUAAGUCUGCUGUCAAAGAGCGAAGCUCAACUUCGUAAAGGCAGUGGAAACUACACGGCUAGAGUGCGUUCGGGGCAGAGGGAAUUCCUGGUGUAGCGGUGAAAUGCGUAGAGAUCAGGAAGAACACCGGUGGCGAAGGCGCUCUGCUAGGCCGCAACCGACACUGAGGGACGAAAGCUAGGGGAGCGAAUGGG